GGGGCAACCUGGCCUGUAAGACUGGGGAUAACUUCGGGAAACCGAAGCUAAUACCGGAUAGGAUCUUCUCCUUCAUGGGAGAUGAUUGAAAGAUGGUUUCGGCUAUCACUUACAGAUGGGCCCGCGGUGCAUUAGCUAGUUGGUGAGGUAACGGCUCACCAAGGCAACGAUGCAUAGCCGACCUGAGAGGGUGAUCGGCCACACUGGGACUGAGACACGGCCCAGACUCCUACGGGAGGCAGCAGUAGGGAAUCUUCCGCAAUGGACGAAAGUCUGACGGAGCAACGCCGCGUGAGUGAUGAAGGCUUUCGGGUCGUAAAACUCUGUUGUUAGGGAAGAACAAGUACGAGAGUAACUGCUCGUACCUUGACGGUACCUAACCAGAAAGCCACGGCUAACUACGUGCCAGCAGCCGCGGUAAUACGUAGGUGGCAAGCGUUAUCCGGAAUUAUUGGGCGUAAAGCGCGCGCAGGCGGUUUCUUAAGUCUGAUGUGAAAGCCCACGGCUCAACCGUGGAGGGUCAUUGGAAACUGGGGAACUUGAGUGCAGAAGAGAAAAGCGGAAUUCCACGUGUAGCGGUGAAAUGCGUAGAGAUGUGGAGGAACACCAGUGGCGAAGGCGGCUUUUUGGUCUGUAACUGACGCUGAGGCGCGAAAGCGUGGGGAGCAAACAGGAUUAUAUACCCUGGUAGUCCACGCCGUAGACAAUGAGUGCUAACUGUUA
Molecule: ribosomal RNA, 723 nt
Filed under: Priestia aryabhattai
Lineage: Bacteria; Bacillati; Bacillota; Bacilli; Caryophanales; Bacillaceae
Description: bacterial SSU rRNA
Rfam family: Bacterial small subunit ribosomal RNA
Source: RNAcentral